Molecule: long non-coding RNA, 2989 nt
Organism: Numida meleagris (helmeted guineafowl)
Lineage: Eukaryota; Metazoa; Chordata; Aves; Galliformes; Numididae
Exons: 3
Source: RefSeq, a predicted model, not a curated record
CUUGUCCCGGGAGCGAGGCGGCAGCAGGUUGUUCUCCAGUUCUUCCACCCGCACGCACCCGCGUAUGUCGCGCGGUCGCGGAGCUCUCCGGAGGGAAACUCGCCGGGAAAGUUUCUUCCCCUCGGUGGUGCGGGCCGGCCCGGGACUGCCGGUGUGCUGCUGCGGGUUCCGGGCCGGGGGAGAGCGGCCCCGGGCUGCGAGCGGGACGGUGCGGGGCAGCCUUCGGGGCAGGCCGGAGAAAGUGUUCAAUGAUCCAGCUGAGGACUGCACAGCUGAGUGCUAUUGCAGCAGUACUUCAAAGGAGCACAUCUCUGAGUACUUAAGGAGCCUUGUCCUACAGGCAGAAAUACGUUAACAAGUAAACAAGGACUCAAAGUGAAUCUGUGCACACAAUCAAGUUACAGCUUUGUUCCCAGCUAUUACAGUCUAUAGCCUUACUAACCAAACCAGCUAAUAAUACUAAUGCAUUGUAGCCAAGGUACUCUGCUCUUACUGGGCAAGUUUAGUCCAUGCAUGUGGAUGGAUGUCUGUGGCCAGUCUACAAGCCACUUCGUAAAAGCUCACCUAUGUGUGUUGGGGUCACACUGUUCAGAAAGCUUCUUCCUCGGGCUUCAGUGCCAGCCUAGCAUUAGUAUUUUCUUCAACAAGAAACUACUGCAUUAUGACACAUCCAUAAUCCCAGAGAACCUGAAAAGACGGGAUACUUCUUCCUCUGGAGAGAAGCAUCAGAUUUGCAGCUGAUUCCCAAAAAGAACGGAGUAUAGAAUUUUUAAAAAGCUUUACUCACUUCAGAUCACAUUUUGAGGACAAACUAGUUGAUGCCACCAGAUGAACUAACUCUCCAGAUCCUUGCUGUUGUUGUUCUAGUUCUGCUCAAUACAAGGAAACUAUGCCAAAAUGCAUGGACAUUUGCUGCCAUUGAGAGCUGUUAAACUAAACCACCAGGGAGUUUGUUCAUUCAAUGGCCAGGCAGUGUGGCUGUGAACAUGAUGCUGCUCAUCCUUGCGAUGUGCUAAUGUCCAAAUGCCUCAGUCUGACAGCAGCAACCUGGCAAGAGGAGAAGUCACUUGUCUGCUUUGGAAAAUCCCCACAACUAAGUGCAAUUAGAGAUCACCACACCAAGCAGCAGAAGUGAAUCAGCUAACUCAGUAUUCUCUCUUGCUGUGGUCUGUGCAGGCUGAUUCAGAGGAGAGUGCACAGAAAACCACAAAGCAAAUAUAUCAAAUAACUUCUCUGAAAGUAGAUUUUUUUAGUAGAAUUUUAGUAGGUGGCAGUGCCAGUCAAAGAAAAAGAACAAUGGUACUACAAAAUAACCAACUGUGAAAACUAUGGUGAUUGUAACCAUCCUUCCGAAAUACUUUUUUUAGCCUUUAAAAAAAAGUUUGACAGUUCUACUUUUUCUUCUCAAAGUUCAGAAGAAAAAUUCUGUAGUUAAGAUCACAAACACAUGUUCCUAAUAAGGCAUCCUUAGGAAAAGACAACAAAAUACUCAGGCAUGAAUCAACGACAGCAUUAGUUCAACUCACUUGUAUUUGUCUGUAAUUUGGUAUAUAUGAAUACCAGGGAGCCAUCUGGCUAUCUGCGUUUCUUUUUCAUAUGUGCUAGCUAUAUCAGAGAUAAAAAGGUAGAAUGGAACACUGAAGAAAAUUAUGGGGAUUUCCGACACUCCCUCAAGGACUUUGGAUUUUAUAAAAUAGUAAAUGAACUACAAAGAGACAAACACAAAACUUUAAUCUGUGAGAUACCAUCAUACUUGUAUAUCUGUUAGGCAAAUCAAGAGUAUGCUAAUUUGAAAAACAAAAAGCAAAUUGAGACAUGAAUAAGCAUGCCAUAUUGAUUUAUUUGUAUUUAACGUGCAUAUGUGCAGGUCAGAGCAAGAUAAUUAACUUUAAAAAGUAGUUUGAACUUCACAGCUGGGCUGAGUGAAAUGGUUAAAGUUUUACUUCAAAUGUUUUCUAAUAGCAUGCAUUAGCUUCAAGCAAAACUCAUGGAAUGGAAAUUACUUUUCCAAACCAUGAGGUGGGGUUUCAGUAUCUACUGGCACAAAUCAGCCCUAUGAGUGAAAUGAAAAGUAUGCAAGACACUUGCUUUCCAGGCUGUGUAUUUUACGGGCUAACAUGGGGAUGAGGACAAUUAAGUUCAGCUCAGCUUUGCAGCUGAUUUUUAAUUAUUGAUAUAUGCACAAAGCAAGCAGAGUGCUGUAGGGUUUGCUUCUUCUCCUGAUUUGGUGCACGUGGGUUUUAUAACUGCAUGAAGUCAAGGGCAGAGUCAGGCCCUUGCUCUCAGCUUAGGAAUUGGAGCAGUUCUGACCCCACAGUGCGAUCUGAGCAGGCAAACACUCGUGGCCAAAACAAGCAGAUGCUGAUUUUGUUGUAUCUGUGCAUGGUAUUUGCUUCUUACCCAAACAAAUUAUCCUCAUGGACUCAGGCCUAGCUUUAGACCUAAACACUAACUGAAGCCAGGAAGAAGAAAGUCAAGGGUAGAUCUGAGCUUUUACUUUAGGUUUUGGUUUGGUGUUUGGCUUUUAUGUUUUGUUUUUUGUUUGUGUUUUUCUUCCCCACUUAGGUUUUAAGCUCCUGAAAAAGUGAAAAAAUAUUGGAGGCAGUAGGAGCACAAGGAUCACAGCUUUAAAAGAUGAGAGCAAUGCAGAUGGUGGAGGAAGAAGACAGAAAUCUCCUAAGACACAGGUUGAAUGGUAAAGACGGCGUGGUUGAAAAGAGUCAGAUUCUUCACCAUUCCUAAUGAGCUGGAGUGCAUAAUAGGAAUGUGGUUUCAAUGCAGUGUAGAAGAACAGUGACAAACCUCUCUGUAAGAAACUCCAAGGCUUCAAACCUUCAUCAGUUUUAAUAAAUGGGAGACAGCAAGAAAGUCAACAAAACACUAAAAUGUAAAAGAUUUAUUUGUGAUUGCAACUUUCUUCUUUUCUUACAGGAAGAAAAAAUAAUGUGUUUCCUUGUAUUUAGUACAGUACUUUCCACUCUGAUUUCAG